AUGACCUUCAUCAUUAUCUUCAUCUGGACUCUUUCAUACUGCUUUAUACUACAAGGGUGUAAAGCUCAGAUCACAGUCACUCAGACUCCUUCAGCUAAACCUGUCACACCAGGAGAAAAUGUUAAGAUGAGCUGUAAGUUUAGUUCUGCUCCAGUCUGCAGCACACCCUGUGUGUCCUGGUACUUACAGAAACCUGGAGAAGCUCCUAAACUCCUGAUUUAUAGAACAAACACCCUCCAGUCAGGAACUCCAUCUAGAUUCAGUGGCAGUGGAUCUAACAGUGAUUUCACUCUGAGCAUCAGUGGAGUCCAGACUGAAGAUGCUGGACAUUAUUACUGUCAGGGAAGACACUACAUCAGUAGUAGCUGGGUGUUCACACAGUAAUUGUGAGUGGUACAAAAACCUGUGUCAGUCAGAGUCACAGUGACUGAACUGAUGCUGCAGCUGAUCAAACACUAUCACUCACUACUGACACACAGAGACCAAACACAGAACUACACAUGAGCUCACAACUGAGUUAGGACUCACAUCAGCUCUAUUAGACUCAGAUCUGUCCUGGGACAGACGGGUUUGACUCAGUUAUGCUCUGAUUUUGUGAUGAAUUGAUAUCAAAUCAAUCCAA
Carassius auratus (goldfish) is the source of this 622-nucleotide non-coding RNA. Lineage: Eukaryota; Metazoa; Chordata; Actinopteri; Cypriniformes; Cyprinidae. The record is from the annotation of a RefSeq genome assembly.